CCUUUUGUUCAUUUUUUGUUUGUUUGAAUCUUAUAGUUUCGCGGAGUGUGGCUUGAUGUUGGGUUGUCUAGACGAAUUGGCUACGAAGUUUGUUAAGAUUAUAUCUACUGAUUGUAUUCCUAACUACCCUGAUUGUAAAUUUGUAAUCUUCCUACGUUGCUGGUGUACCGUCACGGGGCUGUGAAAGGAACACAUGUGGGGUUGAAGAGCGUUGGUCGUAGGUGCACCCCAGAGAGUGUAGCGUUAGUUUUGUGUCAGUCAGAGCCAGUUCUUAACGAUGGUAAAAGCGGAGACGAUGACUCCUCAAGGGAAGCUGUGAUGGCUGGAGUUCGAAGACAGUUCAUAGAACGAGUGGUGAAAGACUAUGAAGAUAAAGAUACGGAUGAUGAUGAUUACAAUAGCGAUUAGAACACUCUCAAAGCUUCUUUUUUUGGUAAGACUCAUAAACAAAACUGCUGACUUCAUUUUGUCUUGUAAUGCUUUCAUCAAAAAAUAUCUUCUUCUUUUCUGAAAGUGGUAGGGAAAAAACCUAGCAUAGAUGUGAAACAGUUUUGUAAUAUGUUAAGGGCUACCAAAGAACCCAUCUACAAAAGAUGUAGAGAAUGACUUCUAGAUUAUCUUUAGCAAAUAGAAUGGUGACAAUUUUCUUUUUUCUUUUUGAACACAUAGGCUGCUGAUAAUUAAAAGUGAUUUUUAGUUAGGGUGGUUUUGCAAAAAUAUAAAGACAAUAAAUAAUUUAAUGCAAUCAAUAGUAAAAAAAAAUCACUUCCAUGACGAGAAUACGGAAUUAGCUCAAACAAUUGUUAACAGUGAACAAUAGAACAUAUAUUAUUUUUAUAUGAUCAUAAAUAAUAGGUCAACAAUCAAUUAUAAUACCGACACAGAGAAUAUAAAAUAAAUAACAACGGGAUGAAAUUAAUCAUCUGAUAUUAAUAUGGGGAUGUCAUUUUUAAAAAUUAACCAAGAGUGGUGCUCUACUUGGUUGAUUCACUUUUUGGGUCUAGGUACGGCAAUGUUCGCUCUGCUCGCAUCCUUUGCGGUAAUGACUCAUUUCCUGUUUCUUGCAGGUCUUAGGGUUUAGUUUAUCACAAGCUAAAGCGUGAUCUUUAAUAAUGACAGCAUAGUCUAUGGUUCUUGCAGCCUCUAUCUUGGUUGCUGCAAAAGCCAAGAACACCACAAAAGCCAGAGAGACGAUAACUUUGAUACUUUUGGACAUCCCCAUAUUAUUAAUAAUUUGUUAUUUUUAUGUUCCAAAUAAAUUAAAUAAAUAAAUAG
This is a long non-coding RNA of Brassica napus (rape), 1275 nucleotides long. RefSeq lists it as uncharacterized. Lineage: Eukaryota; Viridiplantae; Streptophyta; Magnoliopsida; Brassicales; Brassicaceae. The transcript has 2 exons. The record is from RefSeq and is a predicted model, not a curated record.